Molecule: ribosomal RNA, 271 nt
Filed under: uncultured archaeon
Lineage: Archaea
Description: partial 16S ribosomal RNA
Rfam family: Archaeal small subunit ribosomal RNA
Source: RNAcentral
CAGCGCCAUGAGUGGCAAUCACAAUUAUUGGGCCUAAAGCGUCCGUAGCCUGUUUGAUCAGUCUUUUGUGAAAUCGUUAGGCUUAACUUAACGGUGUGCAAGAGAUACUGUCGAACUUGGAACCGGGAGGGGUCAGAGGUAUUCUGAGGGGAGCGGUAAAAUGCUAUAAUCCUUGGAAGACCACCUGUGGCGAAAGCGUCUGACUAGAACGGCUUCGACGGUGAGGGACGAAAGCCAGGAGAGCAAACCGGAUUAGAUACCCGAGUAGUCC